UGCGGGGUAGAGCAGUGGUCAGCUCGUGAGUUUCAUAAGCUCAAGGUCGUUGGUUCGAAUCCAGCCCCACGCAA
Molecule: transfer RNA, 74 nt
Filed under: Vibrio phage phi-Grn1
Lineage: Duplodnaviria; Heunggongvirae; Uroviricota; Caudoviricetes; Pantevenvirales; Straboviridae
Description: tRNA-Met
Rfam family: tRNA
About the family: Transfer RNA (tRNA) molecules are approximately 80 nucleotides in length.
Source: RNAcentral